CAUCGUUGCGCUCGGUCUGUGUUACGUUCAGCGGCGCGCAUCUGUCAAACGCUACGAUAUCGAUACAAAUCUUGCGUUUUUCAUAAAGUGUGACAUGUCGGGAUAGUUGAUCGAUAUCCCCGAGAGAGCUAUGGCGCGCACCGUGCUGGCGGGAGGCGCGCUGCUCUGCGUGCUCAGCCUCGUGCUGCAAGCGCGCGCGCUCACCUUGCUGCCGCACGACGUGCGCCCCGGCCACGCCGUCAGACACUUCAUAGGCAAUCAUUCAAGAUACACACUUUUAGAUCCAGAGUUUGCACCGUACUUCACUCUCCUUGAUGACGGCCUACUCAUGACCACCGCAGAUUUAACGCCACUACUCGAUCAACCCGUAAAUCUGGCCAUUCUUGAGCAAACUCCUUACAGUAGUUCCGCUCAUGCCAUUCAUCUUCUAGUAAUGGAUCGCCGGCGAAUGUUACAUUUCACCGCGACUAACGGGUUAAUAGGAGAAAUUUCAGAAAACGCGCCACCGGGUACUGUUGUUGAUCUACAACCUAUAAGAGCUAUGGCCCUAAUGGAUGUAGGUCCAAUAGCUUAUAAAAUCAUUAAAGGAAACGAAGAUUCAAUAUUUUCUUUAAGGCAGAAAGGAAAAACCGAAACGAAUCCGGAGGUAAAGUCUGUUGUAACGGAUGGCGACGUGGAAAUGAUCGCUACUAAACCUUUAGAUGCUGAAGAAAAGAAUUUGUAUGAAAUUGUCAUUCAAGCUACAGACAUUCACGGAGCGAAUAAAGCCAAUCUCGCUGUUCGAAUAGACGUGGCUAACGAAAAUGAUCAUGAGCCGCGUUUUGACCAAGACAUCUAUUAUUUUGCUGUAAAUGGAACUGCUGACGAGAAUGGUCCAAAUGGCACAGCACGCUGGCAGAGAUUCUCAAACAUUGGACAAGUCCAGGCAUACGAUGCUGAUGGAGAUCGAGUGUACUAUUCUUUGCAAACACCUAGUAACUUGGCUGUCAUAGUACCUCAGACAGGAGAGUUAAUAUUGGCAGGCGAGCCUGAUGGCCAUGAAGCUGAGUUAAAAGUGAUUGCACAUGAUACUGGCUUUCCACAACGAAAGAGUCGACCUGCACGAGUCUUCUUGGAGUUCAUUGUUAGAGAUCAAAGAGAUUUACCAGUUCUUCAUCGUGAGAAACGUCGCGUUACAAGGGCUGUUAGGCCGACGAAAAGGAUUGAAUUUACGGAAGCCGAUGGUGAAGUAGAAGGUCGUGCUGUUUUCACGUUAGAAAAAGAGACUGAUCGCGAGACAUUUAAAAUUCGGGACGAAAAUCCGUGGGUUACCGUUGAACCAAGUGGUGUAGUGAAAGUUAAAAAGAAGUGGGACUAUGAGGAAUUGGGACCAGAGAAGACCAUUGACUUCUGGGUGACCAUCACCAACGCCGGAAAUGGAGUUGCGCUCAAAUAUACUGACAACCAGCGAGUGAUAAUCCAUGUGAAAGACGUGAAUGAUGAGCCUCCUUACUUCAUCAACCGGCCUCUGCCGAUGCAGACAGUGGUGCAGCUUAAUGCUGCUCCCAACACCCCAGUCUUCACUCUCCAAGCCAGGGAUCCUGAUACAGACCACAAUAUCCAUUACUUCAUCGUCAGAGAUAGAACCGGUGGACGGUUUGAGGUUGAUGAGCGAUCAGGCGUGGUACGCACCAGAGGAACCGAUCCGUUCCAACUCGAUAUGGAAUAUGUUUUAUACGUGAAGGCUGAGGACCAGAACGGACGUGUGGACGAGAGGAGGUUCCAAUCCACGCCCGAGGAGCGACUAAGUAUUGUAGGUGGCAAGCGCGCCCCUCAGUUUUACCUGCCAAGCUAUGAAGCCGAAAUCGCUGAGAACCAGAAGAAAGACUCAGACAUAAUAUCAGUGAAGGCCAAGUCGUUUGCUGACCGGGAGAUUCGCUACACCCUGAAAGCACAGGGCCAGGGUGCCGGCACCUUCAACAUUGGCCCAACUUCGGGCAUAGUAAAGCUGGCUAAAGAACUGGACUUUGAAGAUCUGCGACAGCCCCAUGUGUACUCCCUCGUGGUGACGGCAACCGAAGAUUCUGGAGGAUUCUCUACUUCUGUUGAGCUAACAAUUCGUGUGACCGACGUCAACGACAAUGCGCCUAAGUUCGAGCUGCCCGACUACCAAGCACAUAACGUGGACGAAGAUAUACCACUAGGCACCAGUAUCCUCAAGGUCAAAGCAAUGGACGCUGACUCGGGAAAGAACGCUGAAAUCGAAUACUUAGUUUCAGAUGACCACUUCAGCGUGGAUUCGAAUGGCAUUAUAACAAACAACAAGCAACUGGACGCUGACAACAACAAUGCGUACUAUGAGUUUGUAGUCACAGCCAAAGACAAGGGAGAACCAGCGAAAACUGGAACAGCUACCGUCAGGGUUUAUACCAAGAACAAGAACGAUGAAGAGCCAAAAUUCUCACAACAGGUGUACACUCCCAACGUCGAUGAGAAUGCUGGGCCCAACACUCUCGUGACGACUGUCGUCGCAUCAGACAAGGAUGGUGACAACGUAAGGUUUGGCUUCGUCGGCGGCGGCACGAGCUCAGGACAAUUCGUAAUCGAAGAAAUCACUGGUGUGAUCCGACUACACAACAAGGCUAUAUCGCUUGACAGAGACAAAUACGAACUCAAUGUGACGGCUAUGGACGACGGAGCCUGCUGCGUCAAUGGAGAUGCUACGAUACACACCUCCACAGCUGUCGUUGUCGUCUUUAUUACAGACGUCAACGAUAAUAAACCUAUAUUCAAAGAUUGUCCGACGUAUUUCCCAAAAGUAGAAGAAGGCGCUCCCAAUGGCAGUCCUGUUAUAAAAGUUCACGCUACUGACGAAGAUAAAGGUGUCAAUGGUCAAGUGAAAUAUUCAAUAGUACAGCAACCGAAUCAGAAAGGCACAAAGUUCACCGUAGACGAAGAAACUGGUGAGGUAUCAACAAACAAGGUAUUCGACAGAGAAGGUGAUGACGGCAAGUUUGUAUCUGUGACGGUAAAAGCAACUGAUCAAGGUGAACCUUCCCUAGAAGGUGUCUGCUCAUUUACCGUUGAGAUCACCGACGUUAACGACAAUCCUCCACUAUUCGACCGACAAAAAUAUGUGGAGAACGUAAAACAAGACGCCAGUAUAGGCACGAAUAUAUUGCGAGUAUCCGCAUCUGAUGAGGAUGCCGAUAAUAACGGCGCCAUCGUUUAUACUUUGAGCGCUCCCUAUAACCCCGCCGAUAUUGAGUAUUUUGAGAUCCAGCCCGAAUCGGGCUGGAUCGUGUUAAAGAAGCCUCUCGACCGGGACAGGUACCGACUGCGCGUGCGCGCCUCCGACAGGGGCGACCCGCCCUCCUCCGCAGACGUGGACGUUGAAUUAGACGUGGUAGACAGGAACAAUAAGCCCCCCAUCUGGGACAUGACCACGUAUGGCCCCGUUCACAUCAAAGAGAAUGUCACAGUGGGUACCGUAGUGACCAGUGUGAAAGCCAGCUCGGGUAUUGAGAACAACCCGACCGUGUUUUACCGACUGAUGCCCGGCUCCACGGCCCAGACUAACAAAUUCCACACAUUCUAUUUACAACAAAGGGCCGACAACGGAUUUACAUGGGCCGAUAUAAAAGUUAAUCAUCCACUCGACUAUGAGAGUAUUAAGGAAUAUAAUCUUACCAUCCGAGUCGAGAACAACGGCGCCCAACAACUGGCUUCAGAAGCGACGGUCUACAUCAUGCUUGAAGACGUGAAUGACGAAAUUCCACUGUUCACCGAACGGGAGCAGGAGACGGUGCUGGAAGGAGAGCCCAUCGGGACCAAGGUCACGCAGGUCAACGCCAUCGAUAAGGACGGCACCUUCCCCAACAAUCAGGUGUACUACUACAUUGUUGAUUCGCCGCGGAACGAGGGGAAGGACUUCUUCGAAAUCAGUAUGCAGACGGGAGAGAUCUUCACGAAAGUAGUGUUCGACAGAGAGAAGCAGGGGGCGUACGCGUUGGAGGUGGAGGCCCGGGACGGAGCACCCUCGGCGCGGCCCAACUCCGACAACCAGCCCAACUCAGUGACUAAAUUCAUCCGGAUCGGCAUCGCUGACAAGAAUGACAACCCGCCGUACUUCGACAAGGAGCUGUACGAGGCGGAGGUCGACGAGAAUGAGGACAUCCAGCACACCGUACUCACCGUCACCGCCAAAGAUCACGAUGAAUCGUCGCGUAUUCGAUACGAGAUCACGAGCGGGAACAUAGGAGGCGCCUUCGCCGUCAAGAACAUGACUGGCGCCAUCUACGUAGCAGGCGCGCUCGACUACGAAACCAGAAAACGGUACGAGCUGAAGCUGGCUGCGUCAGACAAUCUGAAGGAGAACUACACGACCGUGGUGAUCCACGUAAAGGAUGUGAACGACAACCCGCCCGUGUUCGAGCGGCCCACCUAUCGCACGCAGAUCACGGAGGAAGACGACCGCAAUCUGCCCAAGCGAGUGCUUCAGGUCACAGCCACGGAUGGCGACAAAGAUAGACAACAAAACAUUGUUUAUUUCCUCACCGGUCAGGGCAUCGAUCCUGACAAUCCAGCAAAUAGCAAAUUCGACAUCAAUCGUACAACGGGAGAAAUUUUCGUGCUCAAACCUUUGGAUCGAGAUCAGCCAAAUGGACGGCCGCAAUGGAGGUUCACAGUGUUUGCGCAAGAUGAAGGAGGUGAAGGUCUCGUGGGAUACGCAGAUGUUCAAGUCAAUCUUAAAGACAUUAAUGAUAAUGCUCCUAUUUUCCCUCAAGGCGUAUAUUUCGGUAAUGUCACAGAAAAUGGCACAGCUGGUAUGGUCGUUAUGACGAUGACAGCCAUCGACUAUGAUGAUCCCGCCGAAAGUAAUAAUGCAAAACUUUGGUAUUCUAUUGAGAAGAACGUUAUUGAAGAAGAAACUGGUUCUCCUAUAUUUGAAAUCGAACCUGAAACUGGAGUAAUAAAAACUGCAGUAUGCUGUCUCGAUCGUGAGAGGACGCCAGAUUACUCUAUUCAAAUAGUAGCAUCUGAUGGAGGGGGGUUAAAGGGUACCGGUACGGCCUCUAUAAGAGUAAAGGACAUUAACGAUAUGCCACCUCAAUUCACGAAAGAUGAAUGGUUUACGGAGGUAGAUGAAACUGAUGGAACUAAUUUACCUGAAAUGCCCAUCUUGACAGUCACUGUUCAUGAUGAGGAUGAAACGAACAAAUUUCAAUAUAAAGUUAUUGAAAAUAGUGGAUACGGUGCUGAUAAGUUUACUAUGGUUAGAAAUAAUGACGGCACAGGUUCGUUAAAAAUUGUACAGCCUUUAGAUUAUGAAGACCAAUUACAAAGUAAUGGCUUCAGAUUUAGGAUACAAGUUAAUGAUAAAGGAGAAGAUAAUGACAACGAUAAAUAUCAUGUAGCGUAUUCUUGGGUAGUUGUUAAACUAAGAGAUAUAAAUGACAAUAAACCUCAAUUUGAAAGAGCUAAUAUAGAAGUUUCAGUGUAUGAAAACGCUGAAGUUGGUAAAAGCUUAGAAACCUUUAAAGCAACUGAUCCAGAUCAAGGAGGGAAAAGUAAAGUUUCCUACGCUAUUGAUAGAUCAUCUGAUAGAAAGCGCCAAUUUUCGAUUAAUCAAGAAGGGACUGUAAGCAUACAACGCUCAUUAGACAGAGAGGAUACUCCCAGACACCAAGUUAAAAUUUUAGCUAUUGAUGACGGUGUACCACCAAGAACUGCGACAGCUACCUUAACGGUGAUAGUUCAAGAUAUUAAUGACAAUGCUCCAACAUUCCUCAAGGAUUAUAGACCGGUUUUGACAGAACACAUAACACCGAAAAAAGUAGCUGAAAUCUUAGCUACGGAUGAUGACGAUCGAUCAAAAAGUAAUGGACCUCCAUUCCAGUUUAGACUUGACCCUGGUGCGGAUGACAUUAUUCGCGCUUCCUUCAAAGUUGAACAAGAUCAGAAAGGAGCCAACGGUGAUGGUAUGGCUAUUGUAUCUUCUUUAAGAUCCUUCGACAGAGAACAACAGAAAGAAUAUCUCAUUCCUAUUAUUAUCAAAGAUCAUGGAAAUCCUGCCAUGACUGGUACUAGCACCUUAACUGUUGUUAUUGGUGAUGUGAAUGAUAAUAAGAUGCAACCCGGUUCCAAAGAAAUACUUGUGUACAGUUACCAAGGCCAAGCACCUGAUACAGAAAUUGGACGAGUAUAUGUUUAUGAUCUUGAUGAUUGGGAUCUGCCAGAUAAGAAAUUCUUCUGGGAAAGUUCAGAACAUCCAAACUUCACUUUAAAUGAAGAAACCGGAAUGAUACAAAUGAGACACAAGACAAGAGAAGGUAGAUACCAUCUGAAGUUUAAGGUGUAUGAUCGGAAACAUACACAAACAGAUGUACCUGCAAAUGUUACUGUGUAUGUGAAAGAAAUAUCACAUGAAGCGAUAAUAAAUUCUGGAUCAAUCCGAAUAUCAGGUAUAUCAGAUGAGGACUUCAUCAGGGUGUGGAACUAUAAAACACUUAGUGUUUCGAGGAGUAAAUUGGACAUCUUCAAAGAUAAAUUGGCUGACCUAUUAAAUACCGAGCGUGAAAAUAUCGAUAUCUUCAGUGUUCAACUCAGGAAGAAACACCCACCAGUAACUGACAUUCGCUUUUCAGCUCAUGGAGCGCAUUACUAUAAACCUAUUCGAUUAAACGGUAUUGUACUCAUGCACCGAGAAGAAAUAGAAAGGGCUGUUGGAAUAAAUAUCACUAUGGUUGGUAUUGACGAAUGUUUAUAUGAAAAUCAAAUGUGUGAAGGAUCAUGUACGAACGUUUUAGAUAUUAGCAAUUUACCUUACAUGGUUAAUGCUAAUAAAACUGCGCUCGUUGGCGUCCGAGUGGAUGUGAUUGCUGAGUGCACAUGUGGUGCUCGAAACUUUACUCAAGCAGAAACAUGCCGUAACUCUCCAUGUUACAACGGAGGUAGAUGCAUAGAGGGCAAAUAUGGCUUGACAUGCUCUUGUCCUCCUGGCUACACGGGACCAAGAUGUCAGCAAACGUCUAGAAGCUUCAGAGGCACAGGUUGGGCUUGGUACCCUGCUUUAGAAAUGUGUGAUAGUUCUCAUUUAAGCUUUGAAUUCAUAACAAGGAAGUCGGAAGGAGUGUUAUUGUAUAAUGGUCCGAUUGUACCACCUGAACCAGAAGAAAUUAUGGUAUCUGAUUUCAUAUCUGUAGAGUUGGAAAGAGGCAAUCCUAGACUACUAAUAGAUUUUGGUUCUGGCACUCUAGAGCUACGAGUAAAGACAAAGAAAUCAUUAGAUGAUGGUGAAUGGCAUAGAAUUGAUAUUUUCUGGGACACAGAAAACGUCAGGAUGAUUGUUGACUUCUGUAAAUCUGCCGACAUUCAAGAAAUGGAAGAUGGUACGCCACCAGAGUUUGAUGACUCCACUUGCCAAGCCACUGGCACCAUACCGCCUUUCAAUGAGUACCUCAAUGUUAAUGCACCACUCCAGAUUGGUGGUUUGUACAUAGAACACUUUGAUCCGACUCACUAUCACUGGCAAUACAUGCCCAUCGGCAAAGGAUUUGACGGAUGCAUACGGAACUUAAUUCAUAACAGCAAGCUCUACGACUUAGCUCAUCCAGGACUAUCUCGUAAUUCAGUCGCAGGAUGUCCUCAAACAGACGAGAUAUGCAAUCAAGCAGACACUACUUCGAGAUGUUGGGAGCAUGGCACCUGCGUAGGCAGUUUCUCCGAAGCCAGAUGUCAGUGCCAGCCAGGCUGGACCGGCCCUUCAUGUAACUUACCUACUACGCCUACCAGUUUUCGACCUCAAAGCUACGUGAAAUUUGCCCUGAGUUUCGAACCAGAUAGAUUCAGUACGCAAAUCCAACUGCGAUUCAGGACUCGUGAACCACAUGGUGAACUAUUCAGAGUGAGUGAUCAACACAAUCGGGAGUACGGUAUCCUUGAAGUGAAAGAAUCGCGGUUACACUUCCGAUAUAAUCUAAAUUCACUCCGUACCGAGGAACGCGAUGUUUGGCUGAACUCAGUCGCAGUCGAUGACGGCCAGUGGCACAUUGCCCGUGUCAGCCGCUACGGAAGUGCUGCGAUGCUUGAAAUAGAUGGCGGUGAGGGAAGGAGAUACAACGAAACAUUCUACUUCGAAGGCCAUCAGUGGCUCUUAGUAGACAAGCAAGAAGGUGUCUACGCGGGUGGUAAAGCUGAAUAUACAGGGGUCAGAACCUUUGAAGUGUAUGCGGACUUCCAGAAGGGAUGUUUAGAUGACAUUAGGUUAGAAGGCAAGCACCUGCCGCUACCGCCGGCGAUGAAUGGUACGCAGUGGGGGCAGGCUACGAUGGCCAGGAACUUGGACCGCAACUGCCCGUCGAACAGCCCCUGCAUCAACGUGCACUGCACCGAGCCCUUCGUCUGCGUUGAUCUUUGGAAUGAAUAUGAGUGCACUCCUGGUGUUAGUGUUCGUGGUGUACAACCGACGCCGGGAGGCGCACAUCAAGUACCCUGGACCUGAUGAUGACGUCCGCGAGAACAUCAUCAACUACGAUGACGAGGGAGGCGGGGAGGACGACAUGACAGCCUUCGACAUCACGCCGCUUCAGAUACCCAUCGGCGGACCCUUACCUGAUCAUGCACCCGCGAAGUUGCCAUAUCCCGUGAUGAGCCUGGGCCUGGGAGUGGGUCCGAUGGGCGUGGGCGUCGGCGUGCCGCCGGGCGUGGGCGUGGGCGUGCCGCUGCCGGGCGAGACCAACGUGGGCAUGUUCAUCGAGGAGCACAAGCGGCGCGCCGACAGCGACCCCAACGCGCCGCCAUUCGACGACCUGCGCAACUACGCGUACGAGGGCGGCGGCAGCACCGCCGGAUCGCUCUCCUCGCUCGCUUCCGGUACCGACGACGAGACGCACGAGUACGACUACCUGGGCGCGUGGGGCCCGCGGUUCAACAAGCUGGCCGACUUGUACGGGCCGGACCUGGACGAGCAGCUGUAGGCGCCGCGCACACCCCGCCGCUAAUUUAGUCAAUUGUCUCCCACAAUCGUACCACUAAGCCUCUGUAACCCUGCUAUCUCGGGGCGACACUCGCUCACUCGCCCACUUUCGUUUUGUACAUAAACAAGCGCGCGAGCUGCCGUCUCGGCCCGGCGGCACCGCGCCGUCACCGCGCCCACUGCGCGCCGGCCGGUGGCACGAGUCGGGACGCGCGGCGCUUGCUCGCGCCACAUGUAACUCUUAUCAAUUUUAUACGACUUUAUUUAUUGUGGUAGAUAUGUUAAGCUUAAGUAAUCGUUUAAGAUACCUAUUUAAUUGCGUAAUUUUUAUAAAGUUUGAACUACAUCUUCACCAAAUAUUUGAUAUAAGUUUUUAUUCGAAUUAGCCAUAUUAUGAGUCAGUAUUUUAUUGGAAGUUACGGAGAUAAAUAUAUUUCUGCGGCAGGGCCGGACGUGAAUCUGAACAGUGGGUGUUUGUAGAUAGUGUGCUAUAAAUGUGAAUAAUUUAUACGAGUAUUUUGUAAGUCCACAGCUUUACGUGAUAUCACAUAAUAUAGCGGCCCUCCCGCAGAAAUCAUUAUAGAAUAAAAGAAUAUGUUAUAUUUUAAUAAUGGUAGAUAACAUAAUACUUGAGGUGGUCCACUCGGGCGUCGUGAAACAUAAUGCUCAUUCGAUAUUAUGUGAAGUUUAAACAAUGGGGUUGUAAAUACAAUAACACUCUAGAAACAACUACCCCCGAUUUUAAUUAAACGUGAAACUAUUAAUUUAACUUUAACGUGUAAGCGAACUGUACAGUAACCGGUGUUCCUCUCCUAAUGUCUCCGUGUAGUGCUAGUUAAAUAGUAUUUGGAAACGACUACGGUCUACUCGUAACGUUAGGUAACUAAUAGUAGUCAUGGUCGCGGGAGUUUUCGUUUGCGUGUGAGCGUGAGAGCGUGUAUUUAUGAGUGUGUGAGAGCUGUAGGGAUGUGUGUGCGUGCGUGCGAGCGACAUUCGUCGAGCGUGGCUGAGCGCGCGCCGUGCCGCUGCCGUGCGGCUCCGUGCGUCCCGUGCGGCUCCGCGCGGCACUUCUGCGGCGCGCGCGGUUAUGAGUGGGACUGUGCCAAUUUCUUAGCAUUAUUGAUGCAGCUAAUGACGGUAGAGUUAAGUGUUUGCACUUUAUUUAUUCGUAUGAUUACAUAUAAAUUUAGUCGCACCUAGGAAAAUAUCAAUAACUUAUUAAGAGUGUUGUGCUAGAAUACUAUUUCCAUCGAUCUUGAUGUGAGAUAGUUGUUGAAACCUGUAGAAG
RNAcentral lists this unclassified non-coding RNA (10244 nucleotides) under Helicoverpa zea (corn earworm). RNAcentral describes it as "neural-cadherin, transcript variant X5". The record is from RNAcentral. Lineage: Eukaryota; Metazoa; Arthropoda; Insecta; Lepidoptera; Noctuidae.